GAUGAACGCUGGCGGCGUGCCUAACACAUGCAAGUCGAACGGACAGGCCCUGCUCUUGUGGCGUGCACGAGUGGCGAACGCGUGAGUAACACGCGAGUAAAACGUCCUUGUCAUUGGGAUAUCACCAGGAAACUGGGGAUCAUACCGGAUAGGAGCUACUGCAGCACGGUGGGGGUUGGAAAGUUUCGGCGGUUGGGGAUGGACUCGCGGCUUAUCAGCUUGAUGGUGGGGUAGUGGCUUACCAAGGCUAUGACGGGUAGCCGGCCUGAGAGGGUGACCGGCCACAUUGGGACUGAGAUACGGCCCAGACUCCUACGGGAGGCAGCAGUGGGGAAUAUUGCACAAUGGGCGGAAGCCUGAUGCAGCAACGCCGCGUGCGGGAUGACGGCCUUCGGGUUGUAAACCGCUUUCGCCUGUGACGAAGCGUGAGUGACGGUAAUGGGUAAAGAAGCACCGGCUAACUACGUG
This 468-nucleotide ribosomal RNA is filed under the name uncultured bacterium. RNAcentral describes it as "partial 16S ribosomal RNA". It matches the Rfam family "Bacterial small subunit ribosomal RNA", at positions 28 to 507 of the family's 1533-position model. The record is from RNAcentral.